This 446-nucleotide ribosomal RNA is filed under the name uncultured bacterium. RNAcentral describes it as "partial 16S ribosomal RNA". It matches the Rfam family "Bacterial small subunit ribosomal RNA", at positions 338 to 795 of the family's 1533-position model. The record is from RNAcentral.
CCUACGGGUGGCAGCAGUCGAGAAUCAUUCACAAUGGGGGAAACCCUGAUGGUGCGACGCCGCGUGGGGGAAUGAAGGUCUUCGGAUUGUAAACCCCUGUCAUGUGGGAGCAAAUUAAAAAGAUAGUAACACAAGAGGAAGAGACGGCUAACUCUGUGCCAGCAGCCGCGGUAAUACAGAGGUCUCAAGCGUUGUUCGGAAUCACUGGGCGUAAAGCGUGCGUAGGCUGUUUCGUAAGUCGUGUGUGAAAGGCGCGGGCUCAACCCGCGGACGGCACAUGAUACUGCGAGACUAGAGUAAUGGAGGGGGAACCGGAAUGCUCGGUGGAGCAGUGAAAGGCGUAGAUAUCGAGAGGAACACUCGUGGCGAAGGCGGGUUCCUGGACAUUAACUGACGCUGAGGCACGAAGGCCAGGGGAGCGAAAGGGAUUAGAUACCCUAGUAGUC